RNAcentral lists this non-coding RNA (1638 nucleotides) under Oryza sativa Indica Group (long-grained rice). The record is from RNAcentral. Lineage: Eukaryota; Viridiplantae; Streptophyta; Magnoliopsida; Poales; Poaceae.
GGUCGUUUCUCUUCGGGCCCAACACGAGCCCAAAAGCUUCCCAUCUUCUCCCAGAAGAUUAGCGGCGGGGGAGGCGGCGGCGACCGGCGGCGACAGGGUGGCCGGAUUUGCGGUCCCGUCUCCCUCUCCUGGGCUUCCGCCACCACCCGCGGGCGCUUCUCCUCCACCGGGAAGCCUGCCGUCGCGCGACGGCGACUCCCUUCGACUGUUCGACGCAAUGCCAGGGCAGGCCUGGUGGAGCGGAGGCGGAGCCGCUUCUUCGCUGCUUGAGGCGAGGCGUUCAGGGUGUUCGGCGAAAUGCUCGAGAGUCGCUUGUCCAGUCCUGGUCGGUGGCGACUUCGGCCGUCGAAGAUCUCGUGGGCGGCGACUGUGCUUCCGCUUCGUGAGCUUCUGAAGGACGCAUACCUUUUGAUACUACAUGCAAAGCAUCAUUCCGAGAGGUGCAUAUAAUUUAGAGCAAUCAUCGGCAUCGUGGUCAUGGUGUGUACAUGCUCUGGAAAACAACAUAGCACGACUGGUGGGUGAUUGGGCUGCCAGUGGGAGCUGGCUUAUCAUUUGGGACACCACAGGGGAGACUGGUUCUUGUGUAGACAUGGUCUAUGGACUAUGGAACGGACUGAAGCCACACAGAUCUUCAGGUGCAGCACAAACUGGAGAAAUCCUUCGGCCAGAACAGAAACAGCAUAGGGAACACAAGAUGAUUACAGAAGAUCGGCUGCACAAAGACCAAUUCUAGAAACAGCAUAGAGGCCAUUUCCAGUUCAGACGACUGUAGUGCUGUACUGCUGUGCUGCACGUCGUACACGUCGAAGUCUGAAGAGGAUUGCUGCACUGCAGAUCAAUCAAUGAUUUUCCAAUUUUCGUCAAAACAAGAAACCAAUGAUUUUCCAGGCUCAUGGACACGGUCUACCCAGGCACCCAUCCGUAGACGUGCAAAAUUAUGAAAAACUGAUGGCGAUCUGGCGAUGAAUGAAUGAAUGAUUCGGACCGCCGCUACGUUGUUGCUGCCGACGCGUUCGUUGGCCGUGUGUCCGUGUCUCGGUCUGCAGUCUUCAGUGUCUCAGUCCGAUCGGAAUGAAAUGGAAUGGAGGAGAUGGCGGUGUGAACUGUCCUUGGUAGUGGAGUUGUGGAUUGGCUCGUAUACGACAAAUGUAUUUGGAUAUUUGGCACUUGUUAUCGCUGGAAAAAAUAUAGUCAAGUCGUGUACGAGGAAAACUGCAUGCUACUACCAUACAUACGAAGGAUAUCAAGUUCUUGACAUUUUGAUAUGGAGCAUAGCAAAACUGUUCUAGUUCUCGUUUGAAAUGCGAGAAUGUGUUCACAAAAGGCUGAUUCAUUUUAUUUAAAAUUCACGCAAUAUUCCUCUGUUCGAAGGAAAGGUCUUGUUGUGUUUUUCUUUUUCUUUUUUUUUCUUUUCUAGUGCAGGCUGAUCUGCUGUGCUGAGUGCAGACCGUGGCAGAAGUGAUUUACUUUUCCUUGUAUAAGGGGGUGUUUAAAUCCGGGGUGUAAAGUUUUAGCGUGUCACAUCGAAUAUUAUAUAAGGUAUCGCAUGUGGCAGAGUUUACAUUACCGGUUGACCACUAAAUUUCGAACCCCAUCGGUAUCACCGUUUUCGAUAAAUUUUGAUCGGUUUUUGAU